RNAcentral lists this ribosomal RNA (253 nucleotides) under uncultured bacterium. RNAcentral describes it as "partial 16S ribosomal RNA". It matches the Rfam family "Bacterial small subunit ribosomal RNA", at positions 524 to 776 of the family's 1533-position model. RNAcentral also lists the same sequence under 2 other names. The record is from RNAcentral.
GACAGAGGGGGCAAGCGUUGCUCGGAAUCACUGGGCGUAAAGGGCGCGUAGGCGGGACGCCAAGUCGGUCGUGAAAUCUCCGGGCUCAACCCGGAGGAGUCGGCCGAAACUGGUGUUCUUGAGGGAGGCAGAGGAGUCUGGAAUUCCCGGUGUAGCGGUGAAAUGUGUAGAGAUCGGGAGGAACACCGGUGGCGAAGGCGGGACUCUGGGCCUACCCUGACGCUGAGGCGCGAAGGCGUGGGGAGCAAACGGG